UUCUUUGGACAGUAGUGUCUGCAGUUCUAUGGAACCUCAGCAGCAGGAAGAAGAAGAAGAGCAGGACGACACGGCAUGGGAAACGAUAAGAAGAAAACAACCAAUUUCUACUCACAAUAGAUUUGUUCCUGCAGUAAAGACCAAACCUGCUGUAGUGAAAAGCAACGGCAAAGCAUCUACCCGGCAACCAACUAUUGUCCCUGUAGCAGCCUAUCAUCACACCAGAGAGUACCCACCAAUAAUGCUUGGAAAAUCUCAACCGCGGAGAUCUUCAGUACAACACCAAUCCUACAAAUCAACAAAACAACCAACAAUCAAGACUGGAAGCAAUAGUAAUGCUGCCA
Branchiostoma floridae (Florida lancelet) is the source of this 344-nucleotide long non-coding RNA. RefSeq lists it as uncharacterized. Lineage: Eukaryota; Metazoa; Chordata; Leptocardii; Amphioxiformes; Branchiostomatidae. The record is from RefSeq and is a predicted model, not a curated record. The transcript is spliced from 3 exons.